This 522-nucleotide long non-coding RNA is filed under the name Dromaius novaehollandiae (emu). Its description in RNAcentral is "lncRNA (ENSDNVG00000000224.1)". Lineage: Eukaryota; Metazoa; Chordata; Aves; Casuariiformes; Dromaiidae. The record is from RNAcentral.
AACAAUGAAAAGUUACAAAAUGGACACGUGUCCCUGUUUCCUACCAGCGUUUCCUCCAGGGCUUGCUGCUGUGCAGAGACUUCGAACUGCUCCUUCUGCCAAGGGAAACGGUGCCAGCCUUUCAUCCACGACUUUCAGGUGACAUUGUUCUACUCGCCAAACCUGUAACUUUAACAGAGGGUGACAGGGUGACCUUGACGACAGAUGUUCUUAUGGCAACAGAUGGCACUAGCAAACCCGAGAAGCUGCUGUACGCUGUCUCCGUGCCACCUGUGCAUGGUCAGAUUGAGUACAUCAAUUAUCCCGGCGUGCCCAUUUCCAGUUACAGCCAGUUGGAUGUGGUGGCCCAGAAGGUCUGCGAUGUUCAUGACAACAGCCAUGAGGCUAGUAAGGAUUCAUUCAGGUGGAGGAACAAGACAAAUAAUCUCCAAAACUCCUGAAGAAAAGCCCAGCCACCAUGGAGAACCUGAGAGAUGGUCGCCCAGCAAUUCUAGUCACWGCUUGACUUCUACAAGUCACUGA